Molecule: ribosomal RNA, 464 nt
Filed under: uncultured bacterium
Lineage: Bacteria
Description: partial 16S ribosomal RNA
Rfam family: Bacterial small subunit ribosomal RNA
Source: RNAcentral
CUACGGGUGGCUCCAGCUAAGAAUCUUCCGCAAUGGACGAAAGUCUGACGGAGCGACGCCGCGUGAACGAUGAAGGCCGUGAGGUUGUAAAGUUCUUUUCCGAGGGGAGAAUAAGGAUGGCAGGGAAUGGCCGUCUGAUGACGUGAACUCGGGAAUAAGCCCCGGCUAACUACGUGCCAGCAGCCGCGGUAACACGUAGGGGGCGAGCGUUGUUCGGAAUCAUUGGGCGUAAAGGGUGCGCAGGCGGUUAUGCAAGUCGGGUGUGAAAGGUCUCGGCUCAACCGAGGAAACGCGCUGGAAACUGUGUAACUAGAGUACAGGAGGGGGAGUUGGAAUUCCAGGUGUAGGGGUGAAAUCUGUAGAUAUCUGGAAGAACACCGGUGGCGAAGGCGAACUUCUGGCCAUGUACUGACGCUGAGGCACGAAGGCGUGGGGAGCAAACAGGAUUAGAUACCCUCGUAGUC